This 89-nucleotide non-coding RNA is filed under the name Acholeplasma brassicae. RNAcentral's name for it is "SAM riboswitch aptamer (S box leader)". It matches the Rfam family "SAM riboswitch aptamer (S box leader)". From Rfam's summary of the family: The SAM riboswitch is found upstream of a number of genes which code for proteins involved in methionine or cysteine biosynthesis in Gram-positive bacteria. The SAM riboswitch acts at the level of transcription termination control. The predicted structure consists of a complex stem-loop region followed by a single stem loop terminator region. Lineage: Bacteria; Bacillati; Mycoplasmatota; Mollicutes; Acholeplasmatales; Acholeplasmataceae. The record is from Rfam by way of RNAcentral. RNAcentral also lists the same sequence under 1 other name.
AAAUUAUUAAGAAGACGGGAGAGAUAUAGCUCUGUGAACGUCUACCAACCAGCAGUUAGCUACGGUGGUACAGCUAUAAACGAUAAAUU